This 68-nucleotide transfer RNA is filed under the name marine eukaryotic metagenome. It matches the Rfam family "tRNA", at positions 5 to 66 of the family's 71-position model. Rfam says of the family: Transfer RNA (tRNA) molecules are approximately 80 nucleotides in length. Their secondary structure includes four short double-helical elements and three loops (D, anti-codon, and T loops). The record is from RNAcentral.
GCGUGGUAGCUCAGACGGUUAGAGCGUCGGAUUCAUAACCCGGAGGUCGGCGGUUCGAAUCCGCCCCA